This 887-nucleotide long non-coding RNA is filed under the name Mytilus galloprovincialis (Mediterranean mussel). Lineage: Eukaryota; Metazoa; Mollusca; Bivalvia; Mytilida; Mytilidae. The record is from RNAcentral.
UUCUGAUUAUUAUUUUUUUUUUCUUCCGCCUCAAUUUUUUUCUUGCAUAGUAUUGAUGUUUCAAAAGAUGUCGCUUAGAUAUUUGGAAUAUGAUGUCGUAUAGUUUAUACGCUUUGAAAAUUUACAACUGCGUAACAAAAUACUUUACGUUGUAAGAGUUAUCUCCCCAAACACUGUUUUUCUUGUGGCCACUACUCCUUCGCAACCGUAAAAGAUUACGACAAAUUUAUUUUACCAAAUUGCUCGUUACAUCUUCAGGAUUAGGCAAUUCAUUUGGACCGAAGCUUUCCAGGGACUCCAUAUGAGAGUUAUUUCCCCUUAUGUAUUUGAUAUAAGCGAUUUGCAUUUCUAACUGGUAAACCAUAAGUUAUAGAGACCUGGGGUCUUUUGAUUUGAGAUCCUUGGUCCAAAAAAAUUAAAAUUAGGUCAAGGUCAAAGGUCAAGGUCAUAUUUUAAAUUUUUAUUUUGGCUUAUUUUUACUAAUUUUCAAAACCUUAUAAGAUAUCGACAAAAUAUUUUUACUAAAUUGAUAGUUGCGACAUGUUGUAACUUAUAAAUUUUGGUUGGAAGGGUGCGUACACAAUAAAUAAGAGUUUUCGCCCAUCUUAUAUUUAAAAUCAUGUCUAAAGUGAUAUAACUCAUUUACCAUACAUAUUACAGACCUAGGUUCUUUUUAUUUGAGGUUCAUGGUUGGUGACCUUGAAAUUGAGGUCAAGGUCAAAGGUUAAUAGGACGUUCUAGAUUUUGACCUUUGCUUUAAAUUCAUAUUUAUACAUUAUAGAGUCAUAGGAACUGACAUUUUAGAUUGAUUUUUAAUAUUUUGAUAAUAAAAUAGAUCUUUACUUGUGGAAAGACCUUCAAUUGUUCUUUGAACAAUUGGUUUUUAA